Molecule: ribosomal RNA, 248 nt
Filed under: uncultured bacterium
Lineage: Bacteria
Description: partial 16S ribosomal RNA
Rfam family: Bacterial small subunit ribosomal RNA
Source: RNAcentral
AGGGGGCUAGCGUUGUUCGGAAUUACUGGGCGUAAAGCGCGUGUAGGCGGUUGUCAAAGGCGGGGGUGAAAGCCUUGAGCUUAACUCAAGAAAUGCACUCGAUACUUGGUGACUAGAGGACCGGAGAGGAUAGUGGAAUUCCCAGUGUAGUGGUGAAAUACGUAGAGAUUGGGAAGAACACCAGUGGCGAAGGCGGCUAUCUGGACGGUUUCUGACGCUAAGACGCGAAAGCGUGGGGAGCAAACAGG